GACGCAGUGGACGAAGAUUGAGAGGUCUGAGUCUUUCGUGUUAGAUAAGAUAUAAGUCGUAACAUGGCUGCUGUUGGAGAACCAGCAGCAGGAUCAGUA
RNAcentral lists this ribosomal RNA (99 nucleotides) under Encephalitozoon hellem. Its description in RNAcentral is "partial small subunit ribosomal RNA". It matches the Rfam family "Microsporidia small subunit ribosomal RNA", at positions 1213 to 1311 of the family's 1311-position model. The record is from RNAcentral. Lineage: Eukaryota; Fungi; Microsporidia; Unikaryonidae.